Molecule: ribosomal RNA, 176 nt
Filed under: uncultured bacterium
Lineage: Bacteria
Description: partial 16S ribosomal RNA
Source: RNAcentral
UAUUACCGCGGCUGCUGGCACGUAGUUAGCCGGUGCUUCUUCUGCAGGUACCGUCACUUGCGCUUCGUCCCUGCUGAAAGCGGUUUACAACCCGAAGGCCGUCAUCCCGCACGCGGCGUUGCUGCAUCAGGCUUCCGCCCAUUGUGCAAUAUUCCCCACUGCUGCCUCCCGUAGGA